This 786-nucleotide ribosomal RNA is filed under the name uncultured bacterium. Its description in RNAcentral is "bacterial SSU rRNA". It matches the Rfam family "Archaeal small subunit ribosomal RNA", at positions 453 to 1246 of the family's 1478-position model. The record is from RNAcentral.
UUGUGCCAGCAGCCGCGGUAAUACCAGCUCUCCGGGUGGUGUGGAUGUUUAUUGGGCCUAAAGCAUCCGUAGCUGGCUAGGUUAGUCCCUUGUUAAAUCCACCGAAUUAAUCGUUGGACUGCGGGGGAUACUGCUUGGCUAGGGGACGAGAGAGGCAGACGGUAUUUCCGGGGUAGGGGUGAAAUCCUAUAAUCCCGGGAAGACCACCAGUGGCGAAGGCUGUCUGCUAGAACGCGCCCGACGGUGAGGGAUGAAAGCUGGGGGAGCGAACCGGAUUAGAUACCCGGGUAGUCCCAGCCGUAAACGAUGCAGGCUAGGUGUUUGGACGGCUACGUGCCGUUCUAGUGCCGCAGGGAAGCUGUUAAGCCUGCCGCCUGGGGAGUACGAUCGCAAGGUUGAAACUUAAAGGAAUUGACGGGGGAGCACCACAAGGGGUGAAGCUUGCGGUUUAAUUGGAGUCAACGCCGGAAAUCUUACCGGGAGCGACAGCAGUAUGAAGGCCAGAUUAAAGGUCUUGCCAGACGAGCUGAGAGGAGGUGCAUGGCCGUCGCCAGUUCGUGCCGUGAGGUGUCCUGUUAAGUCAGGCAACGAUCGAGACCCGCGUCCUCUGUUGCAACUAGCCUUGUGCUGGGCACACUGAGGAGACCGCCACUGAUAAAGUGGAGGAAGGAGCGGGCCACGGCAGGUCAGUAUGCCCCGAAUCUCCCGGGCCACACGCGAGCUGCAAUGGCAGGUGCAAUGGGUUCCGACCUCGAAAGGGGAAGGCAAUCUCGAAAGCCUGCCGUA